AUUUAUGUAGUUUAAAUAAAACCUUAUAUUUUCAUUAUAAAAAUAAAAAAUUCUUUUUCAUAAAUA
Molecule: transfer RNA, 66 nt
Filed under: Staphylinidae sp. BMNH 1274658
Lineage: Eukaryota; Metazoa; Arthropoda; Insecta; Coleoptera; Staphylinidae
Description: tRNA-Glu
Source: RNAcentral